This 229-nucleotide long non-coding RNA is filed under the name Ictidomys tridecemlineatus (thirteen-lined ground squirrel). Its description in RNAcentral is "lncRNA (ENSSTOG00000030546.1)". Lineage: Eukaryota; Metazoa; Chordata; Mammalia; Rodentia; Sciuridae. The record is from RNAcentral.
AAAAGAAAGAUCACCUAAUAAUGAUGUAUUUUGCAUUAUGUUUGCAGAGACUGUGAAUACAACAAUACCGUUUUCCUUCAGGGGAAUACUAUUUCUUAAGGGCCGAUACAGAUGUGUUGCAGAAGCCAUUGCUGGGCAUACUGAAGAAAAACUCUUUUGUUUGAAUUUUACCAUCACACACCACCCUCGUCUCAAUUAGAAUAAAUUGAGUAUAUUUUUAUUUUUCAAA